UACAGAGGGGGCGAGCGUUGCUCGGAAUUACUGGGCGUAAAGGGCGCGUAGGCGGCCUGCUAAGUCGAACGUGAAAUCCCUGGGCUCAACCCAGGAACUGCGUCCGAUACUGGUUGGCUUGAAUCCGGGAGAGGGAUGUGGAAUUCCAGGUGUAGCGGUGAAAUGCGUAGAUAUCUGGAGGAACACCGGUGGCGAAGGCGACAUCCUGGACCGGCAUUGACGCUGAGGCGCGAAAGCCAGGGGAGCAAACGGG
RNAcentral lists this ribosomal RNA (253 nucleotides) under uncultured bacterium. RNAcentral describes it as "partial 16S ribosomal RNA". It matches the Rfam family "Bacterial small subunit ribosomal RNA", at positions 524 to 776 of the family's 1533-position model. The record is from RNAcentral.